ACCCACUUUGUUAUUGUUUCAAUCAAGGACUCUAGCUUUGAGAGUAUAUUCUAGAUACCUGUAAAUAAUUGACAUAAUGUAAAUGAGUAGGCCUAUGUAAAGGACGUCACACUGCUUGCGAGUACCACGGCCGUCAAGAAGCGUCAACAGUCGGUGUCACGCGAAAAGAUAACUAUUCGCUGGCGCAAGUGGGGACAGUUCAGGUUGAGGAGUUUCCCACAUCCCCAUGUGCUACAGCUACUGUAGCCACACUAUGAAGCAUUGGCCAAUCUGAAUCAGUGCUAGACUUGGGUAGGAGCUCACCGGAGCUCAGUACCAGCACCUCAAAUGUUCUACUGCCCGAGCUCCUGUUCAUCUUAAAGAAUAUUAGCUCAAAAGUGUUGUGGAGCUCGUGCCCCUAAAUAUAAACAGUACUGCCACCUAAAAUGAAUACCGGAACCUAUUUCAAUCAAAGUCAAGCACUGAUCUGAAUCGAAUUCACUUAGGCCCAUGCCCACUAUUUUAUAGCCUUACGUUAUACAAUAUAUAUUAUAAUACUGUUAUAAUGGGCUAUUUUGGAUCAUAUUGUAUAGGACAUCUUACUAUAGAUUACAUACAUUUUAGGUUUAGUCUUAAUUAUAGAUAUUGAAUGAAAUAGUCAGCAACAUAGUGGACAGACACCAUGCUGUAAAUCAAGAAUUGUAACAAGCAGCAAAUCCAGGUCUAGAAAUUGUUACAUUUUCUUAGAUAACAUGGAAAUUAGCAAUAACCUGUCAACUGCAAAUUGUUUUCUCACGCCCCCUCCCAUUUCCUCUUCGUUUCCCCUGCGUCACUUCUGAGCGCCCUGUUGUAGCGGAGUUGUCACGGCAACGACGUUCUAUCUCUUCUCCAAACACUUCGUGGGCCAAGCACAUCUUUGAUUUUGUUUGAGGGCGUCUCCUGUAAAACUGUAAUAAAUAUUUGAUGACUAUUCUAUGUUACUGCCUAUUAAGUUGAAUGUAAAAACCUCAAGGAGCAAAUGCUUGGAUGGUAUUGCUGAGGAAAAUGUCGAACUCGAUCCCCUUUAAUGGUAAGUUGUCUCUUUUACAGCCUUGCUUCUGGCUUCAGGUAACAGAACACGCUUCCUACUUCAGUUGCUAACGUUAGUUUACCUAACGUUAACGUUAGUAGCUAGGCAGAAAUGUGAGGUUCUCUUGCUAGCUAGCUAGAAUGUUUAUGAAUCCAUUUAAUGGACAGGUUUUGUAAACAGGGUCAACACGUUUGUUAACACUGAGUUAACAUGUCACAAAGUUGACGUUAAAGGCUACAUUUCUUCAGAUAUCUUACAAAUAGUUUUGCUCACAAUUAAUUAUAGGUUGCUUGCUGUUUGUGUAUCUCCACUUUUACCAACGAGCCUGCAAGAUGAGUGCCGAAUUAGGGAUGCUUUUUCACUCAACAGAUUUCACCCUGAAAGGCUCAUCUUAGAAUGGACAAAUUCAAGGAAUGGGAUCAGGCGCCUGUAGAAGUGGCUGAAGACAGAAGUGUGGCAGUCGAGUACACAGGAUGGGACCAGAGCUGCCAACUACCCAACAGGGGCCAUGUCGAUGCCCUUUUGGAUAUCAGCGAUGAUACCUCAUCCAAAGAGCAGGAGCCAUUUGAGUUUCUCUGUCUCUCCAGAUGGGCGGAAGCUAUCCGGGGCUGGGGCAGAACUACUCCACUUGGCUGCCUGGUUCAGACCCAGAGGAGAGGAAAGAGGGUCAAGACUGGAGAGACAGACCACCACUGCCACCUGUGUGUGGACCUUGUGAAGUUCUCGGUUCCCCUUGACUCUGAGUCCAGCGUAACCCACUCCCCUGAGUCCUUCUGGGACUCCACCCUGGACCCAUGGGAGAACCCCCGUCCACAACCCUGGGAGACUUCUUGAACAGACUCUACAGUCAAACCUCUAACAUCUCUUCAGAGGAAUCCCCACCAGAGUCCUUCAGGUACCUUCAGAAAGCCACACAGCAAUUGACACUCCAAGACAAGAUGGUGGAGGACAAAGCUGGGUGUGUGAGAUCAGUGACUCACUGCUGGGCUCUGCCCCCUCCCAGGGUCACGACCACUCAGCCUCAGAGUGUCCCAUGACGCUGAUCAUCAACAGCUUCACCAUCCUACCACCCGUGAAGGCCUCCCAGUUCAGACACCCUAGGGUCACCAGCCAGCUCCGGAGGGAGGAGGCCGGCCCGGGCCGCAGUGCCUCAGACGGGGAGACCGCAGCGGCUGGGUCAGACGGUGUCACGCCUGCCUGGGAGAGCGGAGGUGGUGUGGAGAGCCAGCAGUCGCCACCUGUUGUCUGCUUUCAGCAUCCCCAUCCCCAAGAGAUGUGCCAUACCCUCAGCACUGUCAGAUCCUCUACCCCGCGCCACCUACCCCCUGGACAGACACCUCAGAUAGGAUCCCCGGACCAGCAGUGCUCACAGACUCUACUUUGGACUGAAGACCAAGAUUCUGAAGCGUGCAGAGCCCCAACUGCCCAUUCUGUUUGGGGACAGGGUGGCCAUCCCAGCCUCUGCACAGAGACUACUCUGAACAGAGACUGUUACUUUGCACUCCAUACUCUCUCCCAACCCAAAACUCAGUCUUUGUGGGUUUGUGAUUAAAAAUAAGCUUUCUGUGAAAUAUCUUCAUAUCUUUUACAUGACACUGAUGACGAAUUCAACUUGGUCGUUUUAAACUACAUGGAAUUGACAUGAGUUUACAGAUUGCUGUUAGUUCUAUUUGAUUUAUAGGCUAUACCACCUCAGCCUCAUUGUAUAACCAGUUUAUUCAUGCGUUACAUGCGUUUCAAAAGGUAGCAUUUGGUCCAUCAUCACACAUGCCAUCACUCUUAACAUCAGCAAUGCAAAGUAGUCCAGAUUGCUAGAAUUCAUUGUGCAGACAUGUUAUGGUCAUUUGUUACCACUGAUUAUUCAGCGUGAAAUCAUUUAACUGUUACAUGAGCCUUCCUUAAUUACAAACCCUCCACGUACCUGGACAUAUGGAGUGACUCAUUUUAAAAUGGAGUGAUACAUUCAUUUGUGUGUGAUUUCAGUUCUAGAUUUUGCAUGUGCUUUUAUUGUGGUGCUCACACUUACCCAGCAACUGUGCCUACUACUCUAUGAUGCUGAGCUCUAGGUCAGUUUCUUGGAUUCCUGAAUGUUAAACUGCAGACAUUAUUCUCCUCAGUAUGACAAAACAUGAUCUGAGCCAUUGCCAAAGCAUGCUAGUGCACUCUAAUGGAAUGAGCAGUCAGUGAUUGUAGUGUUCCAACCCAUGUGAAGAUGUCAUUGGUAGCCUAUUGAAUUACAUGCUAGAUGUGAACCACACUGUGACUCUGAGGGGCUGUGACAGCAUAGGUGUGUGGGCGGCGGGAUUAGUAUCAUAUUCCAAAUGUCUUACACAAUUACAAUAUUGUAUUCAAAUGGUCUGAGCAUAAUACAUGUACAUAGUACAUUAACUUGUACUGCCACACAACCCAGGUGAAAACUACCUGACAUUUACCGAAAAAUAGCACAUUGAGUGUGUACAAUAUUGAUUAUUGUGUUGUAAGUCAAAAGUAGUAUGUGCUUUAACCAGUAAUAAAAUAUUUGACGUGGCUUUAUACA
Molecule: long non-coding RNA, 3584 nt
Organism: Oncorhynchus nerka (sockeye salmon)
Lineage: Eukaryota; Metazoa; Chordata; Actinopteri; Salmoniformes; Salmonidae
Exons: 2
Source: RefSeq, a predicted model, not a curated record